UUCCCGCCGCAGCCCAGCCGCCCCAUCCGUUCGCACAGCAACCGCCGCCGGCCAUCUCCAUCUUCUCUUCUCCUCUCCGUUCCGUCCAAACCCAGCCGGACGUCGCUGCAACCAUCGGCCAGUUCGCGAGGCAGCCGUACGCGUCACCUUGCGGCCGCCGUACGCGUCACCUUGCGACCGCCGUCCAGAUCUGUACCGCAAGACCUUCCGCCGCUGCAGCCGUUGCUCUUCCGCCGCUGCCCAGCCGUCUCAGCCGGUUCUGUCUCCGUCGAAGCCAAGGCCGCGCCGCGUGAACCAGUAACCGCCACGCUCCCCGCUCA
RNAcentral lists this long non-coding RNA (320 nucleotides) under Cucumis sativus (cucumber). RNAcentral's name for it is "long non-coding RNA (CSAT_LNC002249)". Lineage: Eukaryota; Viridiplantae; Streptophyta; Magnoliopsida; Cucurbitales; Cucurbitaceae. The record is from RNAcentral.